UUAAACCCCUAUUUAAGUACGGGAAUCGUUUUUACAACUUAAACCCUGUCAUCAAGCUCUAAAACUCGUACAGAAAGCUCUAGAACUCUCUAGUUCAACUUACUAAUAUCCGAGCCGUUACAAGAUUGUUCAUAUAUCUGGCCUAACAUCAAUUACUAUUCUUGCAUUAAUGUUCCGCCAUUAGCAAUCCGUGUAUUGCUGAUCCCUGCAUAACUUGUUUGUAAACCAAAUG
This 232-nucleotide unclassified non-coding RNA is filed under the name Hevea brasiliensis (rubber tree). The record is from RNAcentral. Lineage: Eukaryota; Viridiplantae; Streptophyta; Magnoliopsida; Malpighiales; Euphorbiaceae.